UGGUUGAUCCUGCCAGAGGCGACCGCUAUUGGAGUUCGAUUAAGCCAUGCGAGUAGAAAGAAAUUAGAUUCUUUGCAUACUGCUCAGUAACACGUGGAUAACCUGCCCUACACUGGGGGAUAAUCUCGGGAAACUGAGCAUAAUACCCCAUAGACCACUACGCCUGGAACGGUGAGUGGUUCAAAGCUUCGGCGGUGUAGGAUGGGUCUGCGGCGUAUCAGGUCGUAGGGGGUGUAAUGGACCUCCUAGCCAUCGACGCGUACGGGUUGUGGGAGCAAUAGCCCGGAGACGGAUUCUGAGACACGAAUCCGGACCCUACGGGGUGCAGCAGGCGCGAAAACUUCACACUGCAGGAAACUGUGAUGAGGGAACUCCAAGUGACUGCACAAUGUGUAGCCUUUUCUUGAAUUUUAAUAGUUCUUGGAAUAAGGGCUGGGAAAGACCGGUGCCAGCCGCCGCGGUAAUACCGGCAGCUCGAGUGGUCGUCGCUUUUAUUGGGCCUAAAACGUCCGUAGCCUGUUUGGUAAAUCUGUGGGUAAAUCAACGAGCUUAACUCGUUGAAUUCUGCAGAGACUGCCAGACUAGGGACCGGGAGAGGUAUGAGG
Molecule: ribosomal RNA, 605 nt
Filed under: uncultured Candidatus Poseidoniales archaeon
Lineage: Archaea; Methanobacteriati; Thermoplasmatota; Candidatus Poseidoniia; Candidatus Poseidoniales
Description: bacterial SSU rRNA
Rfam family: Archaeal small subunit ribosomal RNA
Source: RNAcentral